Molecule: ribosomal RNA, 459 nt
Filed under: uncultured bacterium
Lineage: Bacteria
Description: partial 16S ribosomal RNA
Rfam family: Bacterial small subunit ribosomal RNA
Source: RNAcentral
CCUACGGGGGGCAGCAGUGAGGAAUAUUGGUCAAUGGCCGGAAGGCUGAACCAGCCAAGCCGCGUGAAGGACGAAGGUGCCAAGCAUUGUAAACUUCUUUUGUCAAGGGACAAAAUCAGGCUCGAGAGCCUGACCGAGGGUACUUGAAGAAAAAGCAUCGGCUAACUCCGUGCCAGCAGCCGCGGUAAUACGGAGGAUGCGAGCGUUAUCCGGAUUUAUUGGGUUUAAGGGGUGCGUAGGCGGGCUGUUAAGUCAGCGGUAAAAGCCCGGGGCUCAACCCCGGCGAGCCGUUGAAACUGGCUGGCUUGAGAGGUCGAGAGGUAGGCGGAAUGCGCAGGGUAGCGGUGAAAUGCUUAGAUAUUGCGCAGAACUCCGAUUGCGAAGGCAGCAUACCGGCGGCGAUCUGACGCUGAGGCACGAAAGCGUGGGUAUCGAACAGGAUUGGAUACCCGUGUAGUC